RNAcentral lists this ribosomal RNA (237 nucleotides) under uncultured bacterium. RNAcentral describes it as "partial 16S ribosomal RNA". It matches the Rfam family "Bacterial small subunit ribosomal RNA", at positions 99 to 334 of the family's 1533-position model. The record is from RNAcentral.
CGAACGGGUGAGUAACGCGUGAGGAACCUGCCUCAAAGAGGGGGACAACAGUUGGAAACGACUGCUAAUACCGCAUAAGCCCACGGGUCGGCAUCGACCUGAGGGAAAAGGAGCAAUCCGCUUUGAGAUGGCCUCGCGUCCGAUUAGCUAGUUGGUGAGGUAAUGGCCCACCAAGGCGACGAUCGGUAGCCGGACUGAGAGGUUGAAUGGCCACAUUGGGACUGAGACACGGCCCAG